CCUACGGGGGGCAGCAGUGGGGAAUAUUGGACAAUGGGGGGAACCCUGAUCCAGCCAUGCCGCGUGUGUGAAGAAGGCCCUCGGGUUGUAAAGCACUUUCAGUGAGGAAGAACGCCUGGUGGUUAAUACCCAUCAGGAAAGACAUCACUCACAGAAGAAGCACCGGCUAACUCCGUGCCAGCAGCCGCGGUAAUACGGAGGGUGCGAGCGUUAAUCGGAAUUACUGGGCGUAAAGCGCGCGUAGGUGGCUUGAUAAGCCGUGUGUGAAAGCCCCGGGCUCAACCUGGGAACGGCAUCCGGAACUGUCAAGCUAGAGUGCAGGAGAGGAAGGUAGAAUUCCCGGUGUAGCGGUGAAAUGCGUAGAGAUCGGGAGGAAUACCAGUGGCGAAGGCGGCCUUCUGGACUGACACUGACACUGAGGUGCGAAAGCGUGGGUAGCAAACAGGAUUAGAUACCCCUGUAGUC
This 465-nucleotide ribosomal RNA is filed under the name Vreelandella stevensii. RNAcentral's name for it is "partial 16S ribosomal RNA". It matches the Rfam family "Bacterial small subunit ribosomal RNA", at positions 338 to 795 of the family's 1533-position model. Lineage: Bacteria; Pseudomonadati; Pseudomonadota; Gammaproteobacteria; Oceanospirillales; Halomonadaceae. The record is from RNAcentral.